CGCGUAGGCGGCCAGAAAAGUCGGAUGUGAAAUUCCGGGGCUCAACCCCGGAGCUGCAUUUGAAACUCUCUGGCUAGAGUACAGUUAGGGUAAACGGAAUUCCACGUGUAGCGGUGAAAUGCGUAGAUAUGUGGAAGAACACCGGUGGUGAAGACGGUUUACUGGGCUGAAACUGACGCUGAGGCGCGAAAGCAUGGGGAGCAAAACA
RNAcentral lists this ribosomal RNA (208 nucleotides) under uncultured bacterium. RNAcentral describes it as "partial 16S ribosomal RNA". It matches the Rfam family "Bacterial small subunit ribosomal RNA", at positions 568 to 775 of the family's 1533-position model. The record is from RNAcentral.